RNAcentral lists this transfer RNA (18 nucleotides) under Coffea canephora. RNAcentral describes it as "partial tRNA-Phe". Lineage: Eukaryota; Viridiplantae; Streptophyta; Magnoliopsida; Gentianales; Rubiaceae. The record is from RNAcentral.
GGAUAGCUCAGAUGGAGA